CUACGGGUGGCUCCAGUGAGGAAUAUUGCACAAUGGGGGGAACCCUGAUGCAGCAACGCCGCGUGGAGGAUGACGCAUUUCGGUGUGUAAACUCCUUUUAUAUGUCAAGAAAAUGACGGUAGCAUAUGAAUAAGCACCGGCUAACUCCGUGCCAGCAGCCGGCGGUAUACGGAGGGUGCAAGCGUUACUCGGAAUCACUGGGCGUAAAGGACGCGUAGGCGGGUUGGAAAGUCAGGUGUGAAAUCCUACAGCUUAACUGUAGAACUGCACUUGAAACUUCUAAUCUAGAGUAUGGGAGGGGGAGAUGGAAUUAGUGGUGUAGGGGUAAAAUCCGUAGAUAUCACUAGGAAUACCUAAAGCGAAGGCGAUCUCCUGGAACAUUACUGACGCUAAGGCGUGAAAGCGUGGGGAGCAAACAGGAUUAGAUACCCCGGUAGUC
This 439-nucleotide ribosomal RNA is filed under the name uncultured bacterium. Its description in RNAcentral is "partial 16S ribosomal RNA". It matches the Rfam family "Bacterial small subunit ribosomal RNA", at positions 339 to 795 of the family's 1533-position model. The record is from RNAcentral.